GGGUGUUAUCUACAGUGUUUCUAAAAUUACCUCUCUGAGACUUUCGUCUAGCUUUAAGGAACUUCAGAUACAGAGGAAAUGAAACAUAUUUCUCCUCGAUGACUUUAAAAACAGGUCAGGAUCGCCUCUGCUCUGGAACCUUCCUACACUGAGUGUUCAGCUGGGGGUUGCAUCAUAUAUGUAUUCAACCUGCCCACAUUCAGUUAUAUGCAUGCAAUCGAGAGAGAGAAAAUUCAAACAGCACAAGCAAGUGAACCACCAGCCAUUCCAGUCUACAAGUGUAAGCCCCACAGUGACAAGGAUGUGGAAGACUUGAAUCUGCUCUCCUUUGGACUGGGCCUAGAAGAGGCUAAGGAAGAAAGAAGUACUAUUAUAAAAAGUAGAAGAGGAUCAAAGACCACUUCACCUACUUUAUGAACUUGCCUGGGGCUGCUCCAUCUAUGGGACUCCAAUUCAUCUUUGGCAUGAAUGACCUAUGUUGCCAAACACUUGACUUUACAUAAAAAGGCAGAGAAAGACAUCAGACUUGUGCCAUCUGGUAUUAUUGUUCUUUUUUUGAGGACUAAAUGUAAAAUUAAAAUGUAAGGAGGAAAACAAUGAAGAUUGUAGCUGGGGGAAAUGAAAACCACAUUUUGAUGUUUAUUUCUCUGGUCUCAUGAGGUUAACUUUGUAACAAACAAAGGGAUGUGGUAGAUUAAAAACUAGCAUUAAAAUAAAGAAAUACAGAAAUGAAUCAAGUAUUUAGACAUGGAAAUAUACAGAUCUUCAACUUUAGUUUGUACAGCUGUUUGUUUUUAAAGCGUAGAACUAUUCGUUGAAAAGAGUUAGAAACCAAAAUCAUCUUAGAGAGCCAUGAAAUUUUAAAAUGGCCCCAUUUUCCUGGUUGAGGCUCAAAUUAUUCUGAUCACUUUAGUUUGUCUUGGAUAAUUUUUGUUCAGUUGGAUUACAUAAUGAUUUUUGCUAUCUCACUCACAGAAUUUAUUUUGCCAUUUUCCCACAAUCUAGAAGACUUUUAAUGCCCA
This 1022-nucleotide long non-coding RNA is filed under the name Equus asinus (donkey). RNAcentral describes it as "lncRNA (ENSEASG00005034703.1)". Lineage: Eukaryota; Metazoa; Chordata; Mammalia; Perissodactyla; Equidae. The record is from RNAcentral.